AAGGGCGCACGGUGGAUGCCUUGGCACUAGGAGCCGAAGAAGGACGUGACAAACGACGAUAUGCCUUGGGUAGCUGUAAGUAAGCGAUGAUCCAGGGAUUUCCGAAUGGGGGAACCCAACAGGUACUACCUGUUACCCGCAUCUGUUAAGGAUGUGAGGAGGAAG
This 165-nucleotide small RNA is filed under the name Streptococcus oralis ATCC 49296. It matches the Rfam family "Bacterial large subunit ribosomal RNA", at positions 13 to 183 of the family's 2925-position model. The record is from RNAcentral. Lineage: Bacteria; Bacillati; Bacillota; Bacilli; Lactobacillales; Streptococcaceae.